GGAUUAGAUACCCCACUAUGCUUAGCCCUAAACCUAGAUAUAUAAUUAAACAAAUAUAUCCGCCAGAGAACUACUAGCAAUAGCUUAAAACUCAAAGGACUUGGCGGUGCUUUAUAUCCCUCUAGAGGAGCCUGUUCUAUAAUCGAUAAACCCCGAUAUACCUCACCAUCUCUUGCUAAUUCAGUUUAUAUACCGCCAUCUUCAGCAAACCCUAAAAAGGAAGAAAAGUAAGCAUAAACAUCUUAACAUAAAAAAGUUAGGUCAAGGUGUAACCCAUGAGGUGGGAAGCAAUGGGCUACAUUUUCUAUUUUUAGAACAUUUUUACGAACACCCUUAUGAAACAAAGGGUUAAAGGAGGAUUUAGUAGUAAACUAAGAACAGAGAGCUUAGUUGAAUAGGGCCAUGAAGCACGCACACACCGCCCGUCA
Molecule: ribosomal RNA, 428 nt
Filed under: Paradoxurus hermaphroditus (Asian palm civet)
Lineage: Eukaryota; Metazoa; Chordata; Mammalia; Carnivora; Viverridae
Description: partial 12S ribosomal RNA
Rfam family: Bacterial small subunit ribosomal RNA
Source: RNAcentral